AUAACAUUAUUAAUGCGAUUAUUUCUUCAGUUGACGUGAAUAUCAAGCUUACUGCCGGACGGAACUUGACAAAACGUCGGAGCACAACAGCAAGUCCUGCCCUGUGACCUGCUCUAAGACUUGCCGUGCGACCUGCCCUGCGACCUGUCCGCCGGGACGUGAGAGCCGCUUCAACAAAAAAGCAACGGUUUCAUCACGACAUCUGGAUCACCUGAGUAGGACAGCAGGUCCUCGGUCAUCACGCGUUGGUUGUUGACCAUCGACGCCGGGAACUGCUCUUCGCGAGUCGCUGCAACAGAAUAUCAAAAAAAGAAUUAAGGUAACGUAACCAAACU
Culex pipiens pallens (northern house mosquito) is the source of this 335-nucleotide long non-coding RNA. RefSeq lists it as uncharacterized. The record is from RefSeq and is a predicted model, not a curated record. The transcript has 3 exons. NCBI's taxonomy places the organism in Eukaryota, Metazoa, Arthropoda, Insecta, Diptera, Culicidae.